Molecule: non-coding RNA, 23 nt
Filed under: Cricetulus griseus (Chinese hamster)
Lineage: Eukaryota; Metazoa; Chordata; Mammalia; Rodentia; Cricetidae
Source: RNAcentral
GUGGGAAGACUUCUAGGUAGAGG